AACAAUUCUCCAACAAAAACACAACAUCGACGAUAUCGACAUCUCCAAAACCAACCUCUUCCCUUUGUCACUUCGUGAAGCUCAAGACCACCACCAGAUCGCCACCUCCUCCGGCGAUCUACUCCGGUGAGAUCCUCCUCCAUCUCCGAUUAUCAUCUCCACCAAUCUCCUCCAAGAUUCCUCUCGUUCCCGUGAUGGAGAGAAGAUGGUAGGAAAUCGAAAUCAAUUUUGAUUCCGACCACAGCCUUCUCCGAUGGAUACCUCCGGUGAAAGCACACUUCAGCCUCCACCUGUUUCACGGCAGCUCCGAAUUUCGACGAAUCAAGAGACAUUCCUUCGUCACUGCCCAUGAAUUUGAAGCUUCUUCUCCAAUGAAUCUAAAGCUUCUUCUUCGUCUCCUCCGGUGAAUAGGACCACCGCCGUCACCGUUCAUCUCAGGUAGCAAGCUCCGACACUUCACCGGCAAGCUACAACUCUUCUCUGGCAAUGCUGAAGCUUCUUAUUAGUCUCCUCCGACGAGGUCACAGCUCAAUUGGUUCCGACAACAACCCGUAGUUGAAUCACCACAACCAACGACCAUAUUUGGGCUGCUUGAAGACAACAACUUCUGGUAACAUGUUCUUUGAGCCUUUUCUCUGAAAUUUUCCAAAAAUUCUCAUUCCUUGUUUCAACAAUGACUCCACCUGAAACUGAUAUCCUUGUUCAAACACGAUUUAAUCAAUUUUCAAGUGAUGGCUGCUGAGAAUCAUCUUUGCUUGACAAAUCACUUCAAUCUCAA
Arabidopsis lyrata subsp. lyrata is the source of this 778-nucleotide long non-coding RNA. RefSeq lists it as uncharacterized. The record is from RefSeq and is a predicted model, not a curated record. The transcript is spliced from 3 exons. NCBI's taxonomy places the organism in Eukaryota, Viridiplantae, Streptophyta, Magnoliopsida, Brassicales, Brassicaceae.